RNAcentral lists this ribosomal RNA (274 nucleotides) under uncultured bacterium. RNAcentral describes it as "partial 16S ribosomal RNA". It matches the Rfam family "Bacterial small subunit ribosomal RNA", at positions 523 to 796 of the family's 1533-position model. The record is from RNAcentral.
AUACGGAGGGUGCAAGCGUUAUCCGGAUUCAUUGGGUUUAAAGGGUGCGCAGGCGGAAUGAUAAGUCAGUGGUGAAAUCCUACAGCUUAGCUGUAGAACUGCCAUUGAUACUGUCAUUCUUGAGUACACUUGAAGUGGGCGGAAUGUAUCAUGUAACGGUGAAAUGCAUAGAUAUGAUACAGAACUCCGAUAGCGAAGGCAGCUCACUAAAUUGUAACUGACGCUCAGGCACGAAAGCGUGGGGAGCAAACAGGAUUAGAAACCCUAGUAGUCC